GACGAACGCUGGCGGCGUGCUUAACACAUGCAAGUCGAGCGGUAAGGCCCUUUCGGGGGUACACGAGCGGCGAACGGGUGAGUAACACGUGGGUGACCUGCCCUCAGCUCUGGGAUAAGCCUGGGAAACCGGGUCUAAUACCGGAUAUGACUCCAUGACGCAUGUUGUGGGUGGAAAGCCUUGUGCGGCUGAGGAUGGGCCCGCGGCCUAUCAGCUUGUUGGUGGGUGAUGGCCUACCAAGGCGACGACGGGUAGCCGGCCUGAGAGGGCGACCGGCCACACUGGGACUGAGACACGGCCCAG
This 303-nucleotide ribosomal RNA is filed under the name uncultured bacterium. RNAcentral describes it as "bacterial SSU rRNA". It matches the Rfam family "Bacterial small subunit ribosomal RNA", at positions 28 to 334 of the family's 1533-position model. The record is from RNAcentral.